GCAUCCAUAGCUCAGUCUGGUAGAGCACCUGCCUUGUAAGCAGGGGGCCGCGGGUUCAAAUCCCUCUGGGUGCA
RNAcentral lists this transfer RNA (74 nucleotides) under Candidatus Woesearchaeota archaeon. RNAcentral describes it as "tRNA-Thr". It matches the Rfam family "tRNA". From Rfam's summary of the family: Transfer RNA (tRNA) molecules are approximately 80 nucleotides in length. Their secondary structure includes four short double-helical elements and three loops (D, anti-codon, and T loops). The record is from RNAcentral. Lineage: Archaea; Nanobdellati; Candidatus Woesearchaeota.